Molecule: small nuclear RNA, 300 nt
Filed under: Erinaceus europaeus (western European hedgehog)
Lineage: Eukaryota; Metazoa; Chordata; Mammalia; Eulipotyphla; Erinaceidae
Description: 7SK RNA (ENSEEUG00000021879.1)
Rfam family: 7SK RNA
About the family: 7SK was discovered as an abundant small nuclear RNA in the mid-70s but a possible function has only recently been suggested.
Source: RNAcentral
GCAUGUGAGGGCAAUCUGGCUGUGACAUCUGUCACUCCAUUGAUCGCCAGGGUUGAUUCAGCUGAUUUGGCUGCCUAGGCGGGUGUCCCCUUCCACCCUCACUGCUCCAUGUGUGUCCCUUCCAAAACUGCAUGCUCAGUGGAAGAGGAUGGCCUUCCCUGAAUAGAGACGGACUGGUCUUUGAUUGAGGGUAUACAAGUAGUCGCACUCCCCUGCUAGAACCUCCAAACAAGCUCUCAAGAUACAAGUAUAUGUAAAUAUCAUAAAAGGACAUAAUUUUUUUUGAAGUUUUUUUUAUUU